This 238-nucleotide long non-coding RNA is filed under the name Elaeis guineensis (African oil palm). RNAcentral describes it as "long non-coding RNA (EGUI_LNC056483)". The record is from RNAcentral. Lineage: Eukaryota; Viridiplantae; Streptophyta; Magnoliopsida; Arecales; Arecaceae.
UGACCACCAAAAAAAAUUAAGAACUUUUUUUUUGAUUUUCUUUCUCUCUCUCAAAGGCCCUCUCUUAGAUCUAUAUCUAAUGUGGAAUAGGGGUGUGGAAAGGAGAGAACAGGAAUGAGAUGGCGUGGAAAAGGAAAGGGGCGGAAGGUUGUUAGCGCACAAAACACAUGAUGAUUCUUCUCAUGCCAAAAACCAACCCCCUUUUAUAAUUUUAUCGCACAAAAGUACCUUCUUUUUC